UACAGAGGGUGCGAGCGUUAAUCGGAAUUACUGGGCGUAAAGGGUGCGUAGGCGGUCAUCUAAGUCUGACGUGAAAUCUCCGGGCCUAACCCGGAAACUGCGUUGGAAACUAUGUGACUAGAGGAAUGGAGGGGAGACUGGAAUACUUGGUGUAGCAGUGAAAUGCGUAGAUAUCAAGUGGAACACCAGUGGCGAAGGCGAGUCUCUGGACAUUUCCUGACGCUGAGGCACGAAAGCCAGGGGAGCAAACGGG
Molecule: ribosomal RNA, 253 nt
Filed under: uncultured prokaryote
Description: partial 16S ribosomal RNA
Rfam family: Bacterial small subunit ribosomal RNA
Source: RNAcentral